GGAACCGCAUUUGAAACUGGCAGGCUAGAGUCUUGUAGAGGGGGGUAGAAUUUCAGGUGUAGCGGUGAAAUGCGUAGAGAUCUGAAGGAAUACCAGUGGCGAAGGCGGCCCCCCGGACAAAGACUGACGCUCAGAUGCGAAAGCGUGGGUAGCAAACAGGAUUAGAUACCCUGGUAGUCCACGCCGUAAACGCUGUCUACUUGGAGGUUGAGGUUUAGACUUUGGCUUUCGGCGCUAACGCAUUAAGUAGACCGCCUGGGGAGUACGGCCGCAAGGUUAAAACUCAAAUGAAUUGACGGGGGCCCGCACAAGCGGUGGAGCAUGUGGUUUAAUUCGAUGCAACGCGAAGAACCUUACCUACUCUUGACAUCCUGCGAACUUGUGAGAGAUCACUUGGUGCCUUCGGGAGCGCAGAGACAGGUGCUGCAUGGCUGUCGUCAGCUCGUGUUGUGAAAUGUUGGGUUAAGUCCCGUAACGAGCGCAACCCUUGUCCUUAUUUGCCAGCACGUAAUGGUGGGAACUCUAAGGAGACUGCCGGUGACAAACCGGAGGAAGGUGGGGACGACGUCAAGUCAUCAUGGCCCUUACGAGUAGGGCUACACACGUGCUACAAUGGCCGGCACAAAGGGCAGCGAGCUCGCGAGAGUCAGCGAAUCCCUUAAAGCCGGUCUCAGUCCGGAUCGGAGUCUGCAACUCGACUCCGUGAAGUCGGAAUCGCUAGUAAUCGUGCAUCAGAAUGGCACGGUGAAUACGUUCCCGGGCCUUGUACACACCGCCCGU
RNAcentral lists this ribosomal RNA (780 nucleotides) under uncultured bacterium. RNAcentral describes it as "bacterial SSU rRNA". It matches the Rfam family "Bacterial small subunit ribosomal RNA", at positions 617 to 1397 of the family's 1533-position model. The record is from RNAcentral.